This is a long non-coding RNA of Carica papaya (papaya), 4718 nucleotides long. RefSeq lists it as uncharacterized. The record is from RefSeq and is a predicted model, not a curated record. Lineage: Eukaryota; Viridiplantae; Streptophyta; Magnoliopsida; Brassicales; Caricaceae.
CCUUAACUUUUAACUUCCAAACACCAAGCCAAAAUGAGAAAGAAGGAAUCUGUAAAGAGACACGGCCGAUUUAAAAACAAAUGAUAAACCGCUGAUGAGACAAAGACGCAGACACGACUACCUCCAGCGACACCCGAACCCCAAGUUCCACAAGAGGAACAAGCUCUACCCGACGGUGCGAGCAGCUCCAGAUGCCAAUCAACAACACCGUAGCCCUGUAUUCGACGUUCCUGACUCUCCAACUAGGGAGCAAAGCACACAAAACCUUGAAAUGAGUUGUGACAGCAAACAACCAGGUACACACCAACCUACGGUCGAAGAGCCUGCUAGCAAAGAUGCCAAAGCCAAGCGAGCUCGAAAGAGAACAUGGGUCAGAAGGGGGAAGCAUGUCCUCUCACUGGCUGAAUCCGGGUUGCGCGGCCACCUCACUUUCUAAGACGCUUCGGAGAAGGAAUGGUAUGUGGAAGUCUGUAAACUCCCCAUCGUAAGAGGUCAAAAAGAUGCACCCAGUAUCCUCUCCAAAACCGAGCUAUACUUCCUAUAGUGCAUGCUUAACAAGAAAAGAGUCAACCUCGAUUUUUGGUUCACAUGCUAGUUUUCCAAUGUUAUUUCCUUUAAACGGCCACUAAUCCUAGGAUCAAUCAUUCCCCGAAUUGCCCUCUCUUUCAGUAACUUUGAUAUGGAGGAGAUUGACUUGCACAUAGCUUGCCCUUAAACUGCCUUGGAUUUUGGGCUCCUUGGAUGACAUGAGACUGCUACAUCUUAAGGAUGACAUCUAAUUCUUUGCCUCGCCUGGCCCACUUGUGCCCAGAAACAUGUGAGUGUACAAUAAAAAGAAAAAGCAAACAGAGCCUGAUGCCCCAGAAUUUACUGCCACAACACCUUCUGCCACCAAACCUGCAUUAGCGGACAUCCACCAGCUCCUACAAAGAGUAUUGUUGCAUGUUCAAAAGAUAGAUGGAUGCCUGUUUCACCUCAAGAAUUUGGCCCACCAACUUUCGGGAAGGGUUGAGGAGCUAGUCUAUUCAAUAGCCCAAACGAUGAAGGACGCCCCUUGCCCCAGAACCAGAUGAUGCUUCCAGUGUGCCCUGUCUCCGAGUUACCACACAAGGGGAGUUAAUCUAUCCCUUCAUUUUUCUUUUACCACUCGUUUUCUUUGCAUCGCAUUGAAGACAAUGUGUAGUUUAAGUGUGGGAGAGGGAUAUACUGCAUUUUUAGUUCCAUUUUGAUAUUCGGCUACAUUAUCUUUGUUGCAUUCAAACCUUUCUCACGACACCCACUGAUGCACACUUUAGCCUUGCCCAAGGCACACCACUAAAAACAGUUUUUCAAUAGUUUUUCACCCCAUCCUUUUCACUACUGUCUUAGUUAUUCCUAAAAUAACUCAACUGUGAUACUUAAAGAAUUGAAUUGCAUUCACAAUAAUCUUCUAGGACUUUUAACUUGUUGCAUUCAUACAUUAUCUUUGAUUAUGUGUCUUGAUAUGCCUUUUUUAGGAAUUGCCUCUAAUUGAUUUUUUUUCUUACUCUUAAUUGAAUGUUGAUACUUAAGAAAACUCUAUUACAACCUGUCUUGAUUUGUAUGCGUAAUAAUCUUAAGGUUCAUGACUAAAAGAUUCAAAAAAAGGGGGGGAGAGCACAAAUAAUAAUCUAGUCCUUUAGUCAAUUAAUUAUGAAUAGUGCUAGUAGCCACUUGAACUUGUGACCAACUGAGAAACUGAGUACAUUCAUCACAAAUGUUUGUUCUCGUAUCAAAAGGUUAAUGACAUUUCAAGCACACAAUAAAAGUUCUCGAUUAAUUGCAAUUAAAUUUUCUAUUCUACCAUGAACCAAUUGCAUGAAAUACUUAUAUUUGAACUAGUAUAGUGUGAAUGUUAUACUAGAUGUUGAUUGUUCUUCUCAAGAAAAAAUAAAUGUGUUCAAAAACUUACAAAACAUUUCCAUUUUAUGCUCGGGUACUAUCUAGAGUUAUUUAGUGGUGUGAUUCUAUGAAAUGCAAGUUUAGAAAUUACUAGUUGAUGACUGUAUUUAUAAUUUAAGGAUUGAGAUAUAACAUACGAGUUGAGGGAAUAGCUAGGGACAAUUGGCUUGAGGGUGAAAGGUUAAGAACUAUUGAAUGGUAUUGUGGGGUACUUGAGGGCAAGCACAAGAUAAGUGUGGGGAAGUUUGAUAGUACGUAUAAAAACAUUUUUAUCAUUUAUUUUGAAUACAUGAUUGAGCUAUUUAUUACCUAAUUAGGUGAUUUUAUUUGUUUUGAUGAGGGAUAAAAGUCAAAUUCAGGAAAGCAGCGUAGUAGAAAUAGAUUUGCAUAGAAAUAGUCAUCAACCUAGUAUAAGCCUCAGGCAAUGCUUAAGCCCUAACAUGAACAGCAGAUGUUAGUUUGAGAACAAUCAAGCCUCGGGCAAGGCUUGCACUCUUGUGUUAGUAAAAAGCACCAGUUCACACGCAGAUAACCUUAUGGCAAAGCUAACACCCUAGCAGCAGUAAUAAAUAUCAGAUCAUGCACAAACAAGCCUCGGGCAAGAUUUAGACCCUGCAGUAGUAGUAGAUACUGAUAUCCCAGACACUUUAAAAUUUAAAAAGAUCAUGUUUUUAUCUGGAAGCAAAAAACCUAAUCAAGCAAAAGACGACUUUGAAAAGCAGAAAGAAAGCCGAAAUCAUCAUGAAAAAUCCAGUCUCCACAAGAGGAAACCAUGAUGCUCUCGGUCUUUAAAUAGGAAGAAAAAGAGAAAAAAGAGGAGCUACCAAGAAGAACAACAGACUUUGGUUUUUCGAAUUAUUUUUUCUAUCUAUAAUCACUGAAACAAUUUUUUCAAUUAGAAAUUUAGUUGAAGUUCUAGUUUUGAAUUGUGAGAUCUAAAUAAUUUUUUGUUCUUAUUUAAACUUUAGUAUUUAUAUAUCUUUUUGCACAUAUUAUUAUUAUUAUUUGUUGAUCGUUUGAUAGGGCCCAUUGAACGUGCAGCAUAGUAGCAUACUGCCAUUCAAAAUCCUAAAUCUGUAAUUGUUUAGGUUGUCUUGAUGAUUAGUGGUGAAUUAGUUUCCUAUGUAAUAUAGUUUGAAUGAAUCAUGCGGUUGAAUUCAUUAAUUAGAAUCAUGUCUUUCUAACUUUUAAUGUUGUUAGUAAAUUAAACUUUAUGUGCGUUUUUAGGGUUGUUUAUUUAAAAAGAUUAACUAACGAGUCUCUUGAUUAGUGUAGAAUUAAGAAAAUAUUAAUUGUUAUGAGCGUAUCCGACAACUAGAACUGGUUUAUUGAAGUUUGAUGAAAACAAUUAGUGCAUCAAUGAUCAAUCCUACAACUAGAAUCAAAACUACUUCUUUAACUAGAAUCCACUCAUAGUUGUUUGUUACUUCAAUCACUUGUUGAUAACAUUUUCUAUUUUUUGUUUUAAGUUUAUUUGAUUUAUUUUAAUUCUUUGUAUUGUCUUGGAACAAAAACCCUAGCUUUGUUUUUAUCAUUGGUCAUAAAAGAAAAGUGGUUCUCAAUUUCCUGAGGAUUCGACCUUAUUCGCGAUUAAUACAAAAUUUGAAUUGUUGUCAGAAUAUGAUAUUAUUUUUGGUGGAUUUGAUACCCAUCAAAAGAAAAACCAAGCAAAAGAGAAGGAAAUAAAGAAGAAAGCUAUGGCCAAAGGAGGCCACACCCGAUGGGCUUAGAUAGUAACUAAGAACAUCCCUGGAUUCUACAAAAAUUUUAAGAAGAAAAACUUACGAAUUAAGUUGGGACUCUGCUAGAAUUAAAGUUUCAUAUUAUCUUUAAAAAAAAUGAUUAAAAUUAAUGGGAGACUUUGCUUGAUUGAAAAGUGAAAAUGAAGUGUUCUUAAGGGGAGACUCAACCCGAAGAAACAGAGAAUUUCAGAGAUUAUAUAAAGGGGGACUCUACCUAAACCGACAUUUGAGUUAAAAAGACACAAGGAAAGGUUUGAUUAGGAUCUUAGGUACAUGGAUAUUCUGACAUUCGUGGCAUGUGUAUUUUUGAAGUAUUUUAAGUAUUUUUUGUAUAGUUAAUUGUGAAAGUGUUCUUACAUGCUUUUGUAUUAAUGAUGUGUUCAUUUAAUUUGAUAUGAGUAUUAUAUGUUUAUUUGUUUCAAACAUAAGUGUUAUAUGAUUUAGAAAAGUGUUUUCGAUAUGUGUGCAUCAAUGAUUGAGGAGGCGAGUAAUUAUGUUCCACCUCUGUCAUGCUAGGCCUCAGUGUGAGCUGAAUGCCCUAUCAUCCCAUGUUUGGGGGGCGGGGGUACUAGUCUUACAGUGUGCCCACACCUGUCGUUCUGUGUUCAGGGGUGUUGGAAAGUGAUAAGUGCCACACAUGUUGUUCAAUGUUCUUGUAUGUUGGGAAGUGAUAAGUGAGUCCACAUAUGUCAUUUUAUGUUUGGGGGUGUUGAGAAGUGAUAAGUGCCCAUACAUAUCAUUCCACAUUCAAGUGUGUUAGGAAGUGAUAAGUGAGCCCCACCUGUCGUUCUGUGUUCGAGAGUGUUAGAAAGUGAUAAACUAAUGUGAUAUUGGAUGAGAAUAACUCCUAUGACAAAUGGAAAAGUCACUUAAGAGGCUAUUUCUGUAAUCCUAGCAGUUGCAGAUAUGCAGCGAUAAGAGGCCGUAAGCUCUCACUAAGUAAUAUGCCUCAAGAGCACACUAAGAAGUUUCCACGAAUGGAGAUUGACGGUGAAGAAUCUCACCAAGUCCACACAACAAAAGGAAGUAACUUCGGGUAUGCUUUGUUUCCUAAAA